RNAcentral lists this ribosomal RNA (1294 nucleotides) under metagenome. RNAcentral describes it as "bacterial LSU rRNA". It matches the Rfam family "Bacterial large subunit ribosomal RNA", at positions 1609 to 2925 of the family's 2925-position model. The record is from RNAcentral.
CCUGAAAAGCUUUGUGAAUAUCCAAGGAGCCCGUACCGCAAACCGACACAGGUAGAUAGGAAGAAAAUUCUAAGGCCAACGGGAGAAGGGUAGUUAAGGAACUCGGCAAGUUGACCCCGUAACUUAGGGAUAAGGGGUGCUCUCGAAAGAGAGCCGCAGAGAAUAGGCCCAGGCGACUGUUUAGCAAAAACACAGCUCUAUGCUAAAUCGAAAGAUGAUGUAUAUGGGGUGACACCUGCCCGGUGCCGGAAGGUUAAGAGGAGGAGUGAGAGCUCUGAAUUGAAGCCCCGGUAAACGGCGGCCGUAACGAUAACGGUCCUAAGGUAGCGAAAUUCCUUGUCAGGUAAGUUCUGACCCGCACGAAUGGUGUAACGAUCUGGGCACUGUCUCAACUACCCGCCCGGCGAAAUUGUAGUACCGGUGAAGAUGCCGGUUACCCGCGACUAGACGGAAAGACCCCAUGGAGCUUACUGUAGCUUAAUGUUGAAUUUCGGUAUUUCAUGUACAGGAUAGGUGGGAGACUAAGAAGCAGGGGCGUCAGCUUCUGUGGAGUCAACCUUGGGAUACCACUCUUGAAGUGCUGGAAUUCUAACCUGCGGCCGUGAAUCCGGUCGGGGGACAUCGUUAGGUGGGCAGUUUGACUGGGGCGGUCGCCUCCCAAAGAGUAACGGAGGCGCUCAAAGGUUCGCUCAGCAUGGACGGAAACCAUGCUCUUGAGUGUAAACGCAAAAGCGAGCCUAACUGCGAGACUGACGGGUCGAGCAGUAACGAAAGUUGGAGUUAGUGAUCCGGCGGUAUGUGAGUGGAAAUGCCGUCGCUCAACGGAUAAAAGCUACCCUGGGGAUAACAGGCUGAUCUCCCCCAAGAGUCCACGUCGACGGGGAGGUUUGGCACCUCGAUGUCGGCUCAUCGCAUCCUGGGGCUGUAUUCGGUCCCAAGGGUUUGGCUGUUCGCCAAUUAAAGCGGUACGCGAGCUGGGUUCAGAACGUCGUGAGACAGUUCGGUCCCUAUCUGUCGUGGGCGUAGGAUAUUUGAAAGGAGCUGUCCCUAGUACGAGAGGACCGGGAUGGACGCACCUCUGGUGCACCAGUUGUCACGCCAGUGGCACAGCUGGGCAGCUAAGUGCGGAUCGGAUAAACGCUGAAGGCAUCUAAGCGUGAAGCCGUCCUUAAGAUAAGAUAUCCCAUCAGGUCAACUGAGUAAGACCCCUCAAAGACUAUGAGGUUGAUAGGCCUAAGGUGUACGCAUGGUGACAUGUUCAGCCUGCAGGUACUAAUCGGUCGAGGGCUUGACC